This 381-nucleotide ribosomal RNA is filed under the name uncultured eukaryote. RNAcentral describes it as "partial 18S ribosomal RNA". It matches the Rfam family "Eukaryotic small subunit ribosomal RNA", at positions 592 to 976 of the family's 1831-position model. The record is from RNAcentral.
CAAUAGCGUAUAUUAAAGCUGUUGCGGUUAAAAAGCUCGUAGUUGGAUUUCUGUCAAGGACAACUGGUCCGCCCUCCGGGUGAGCACAUAGUUUGGUCUUGGCAUCUUGCUGGAAGCUGUUGCUGCACUUGGCUGUGUGGCGCAGCGUCCAGCACCUUCACUUUGAGGAAAUUGGAGUGUUUCAAGCAGGCACAUGCCUUUGGACACAGUAGCAUGGAAUAAUUAGAUUGGGCUUUUGCUCCAAUUUGUCGGUUUCUGGAGCUGAGGUGAGAAUUAAUGGGGAUUGUUGGGGGCAUCCGAAUAUAGCCGUCAGAGGUGAAAUUCUUGGAUCUGCUAAAGACGGACAACUGCGAAAGCGUUUGCCCAGGAUGUUUUCAUUGA